RNAcentral lists this ribosomal RNA (1417 nucleotides) under metagenome. RNAcentral's name for it is "bacterial LSU rRNA". It matches the Rfam family "Bacterial large subunit ribosomal RNA", at positions 1533 to 2925 of the family's 2925-position model. The record is from RNAcentral.
UAGGCAAAUCCGGGGUACUCUACGCUGAGAACUGAUAGCAAGCUGUACUUGUACAGUGAAGUGGCUGAUACCAUGCUUCCAGGAAAAGUCUCUAAGCUUCAGUUACAUAGGAAUCGUACCCGAAACCGACACAGGUGGUCAGGUCGAGUAGACCAAAGCGCUUGAGAGAACUCUGCUGAAGGAACUAGGCAAAAUGGUACCGUAACUUCGGGAGAAGGUACGCUGCCGACGGUGAUAGGAUUUACUCCUUGAGCUAUUGGCAGCCACAGAAACCAGGCCCCUGCAACUGUUUAUUAAAAACAUAGCACUCUGCAAACACGAAAGUGGACGUAUAGGGUGUGAUGCCUGCCCGGUGCUGGAAGGUUAAUUGAUGGGGUUAGCGUAAGCGAAGCUCUUGAUCGAAGCCCCAGUAAACGGCGGCCGUAACUAUAACGGUCCUAAGGUAGCGAAAUUCCUUGUCGGGUAAGUUCCGACCUGCACGAAUGGCAUAAUGAUGGGGGCGCUGUCUCCAGCAGAGACUCAGUGAAAUCGAAUUCGCCGUGAAGAUGCGGUGUACCCGCGGCUAGACGGAAAGACCCCGUGAACCUUUACUGCAGCUUGACAUUGAACUUUGAUCUUACUUGUGUAGGAUAGGUGGGAGGCUUUGAAACCGAGACGCUAGUUUCGGUGGAGCCAAUCUUGAAAUACCACCCUGGUAAUAUUGAGGUUCUAACUCUGUCCCGUUAUCCGGGACGAGGACCAUGUCUGGUGGGUAGUUUGACUGGGGCGGUCUCCUCCUAAAGAGUAACGGAGGAGUACGAAGGUGCGCUCAGCGUGGUCGGAAAUCACGCGUAGAGUAUAAAGGCAAAAGCGCGCUUAACUGCGAGACCCACAAGUCGAGCAGGUACGAAAGUAGGUCUUAGUGAUCCGGUGGUUCUGUAUGGAAGGGCCAUCGCUCAACGGAUAAAAGGUACUCUGGGGAUAACAGGCUGAUACCGCCCAAGAGUUCAUAUCGACGGCGGUGUUUGGCACCUCGAUGUCGGCUCAUCUCAUCCUGGGGCUGAAGCAGGUCCCAAGGGUAUGGCUGUUCGCCAUUUAAAGAGGUACGCGAGCUGGGUUUAGAACGUCGUGAGACAGUUCGGUCCCUAUCUACCGUGGGCGUUGGAAAUUUGAGAGGAUCUGCUCCUAGUACGAGAGGACCAGAGUGGACGAACCUCUGGUGUACCGGUUGUGACGCCAGUCGCAUCGCCGGGUAGCUAUGUUCGGAAGGGAUAACCGCUGAAAGCAUCUAAGCGGGAAGCCUACCUCAAGAUAAGAUUUCCCUAGGACUAUAUGUCCUCUAAAGAGCCGUUGAAGACUACGACGUUGAUAGGUUGGAUGUGGAAGCAUAGUGAUAUGUGAAGCUGACCAAUACUAAUUGCUCGUGAGGCUUGACUAU